RNAcentral lists this transfer RNA (85 nucleotides) under Alphaproteobacteria bacterium. Its description in RNAcentral is "tRNA-Leu". It matches the Rfam family "tRNA". Rfam says of the family: Transfer RNA (tRNA) molecules are approximately 80 nucleotides in length. Their secondary structure includes four short double-helical elements and three loops (D, anti-codon, and T loops). Lineage: Bacteria; Pseudomonadati; Pseudomonadota; Alphaproteobacteria. The record is from RNAcentral.
GCGGAUAUGGUGGAAUUGGUAGACACGCUGGAUUUAGGUUCCAGUGGCGAAAGCUGUAAGAGUUCGAGUCUCUUUAUCCGCACCA